Molecule: long non-coding RNA, 239 nt
Organism: Suricata suricatta (meerkat)
Lineage: Eukaryota; Metazoa; Chordata; Mammalia; Carnivora; Herpestidae
Exons: 2
Source: RefSeq, a predicted model, not a curated record
AGUAUGGGAGGAGGUUGCAACCGGUUGGGGCAAUAGGGAAGGGGGGUGAAAAAGAGAGGUGUUUACUCUCUUAAUGCGCAGGCGCGGGAACGAAGCCUCUAGUUCUUAAAGAGGGGGCCCGCAACUUUCAUCAGAUCUUUCAGAGGGGCUGUGACCCAAAGAAAUCCAAGGACUUAUGGAGCAAAUAGUUGUGUGAUAAUGUGAGCAGGAAACAAAUGACAAAAUGAUGGAUUCUGGAA